This 784-nucleotide long non-coding RNA is filed under the name Bos grunniens (domestic yak). RNAcentral describes it as "lncRNA (ENSBGRG00000015489.1)". Lineage: Eukaryota; Metazoa; Chordata; Mammalia; Artiodactyla; Bovidae. The record is from RNAcentral.
UCUUCCUCUAUGUUGCCCCUCCCCAUCUCUUUCCCCACUUGCAACCACUAACUUGUUCUCUGGGAGCCUGUUUCUGUUUUGUUAUAUUCAUUUGUUUUAUUUUUUAGAAGAGUAUCACUUCCCAUUUGGACUGUAAAAGAGGGCUCCAUGAGCAUGGAAAUAGUCUUUACUUCAGAGAAGCUGAGUUGUUGUAUUUCCCUGAGGCAGCAAAUUCAUUUGCAAACACAAAGGCUCAGGGAAAUUUGCGCCCUAUUACACAGUCUCCAAAUAUUCCAGACUUGCUAAGACUCCAGUCGAAAAGGGUCAAGGCAGUUCAUCAGAUUCCCUUCCUAAUUCUCAACUUCCAAAGCAAGUUCUUCCCAGAGCACAGACAAAGGAAGACUAUCUGGCUGCCUAGUCUACAGCCCUGAGGACAAAAGCAUCAUCAGUGACAAGGAGACGUCCUGCUGGGGAGUAAGAUUUUACCGAGACCCAGUUGAGGAGACAUAUGUGGGGAACUUGGAUCGUCUGAGACAAGCUGUCAAUGCCAGGCAAGCAGCGAUAUGCGGAGUGGAACAAAGCUCUGUGAACUUGGUGGCCACACACAAACAUGUGCUCCAUCUCUUAGGCUGCCAAGGCCCACCAGGCCAGAAUGGACCCAACAAGGAUGCCGUCACUACACAGGAAGCCAUCUCCAAUUAUCUUUUUAUCUCUAAUUACAAUCCCUCAAGCCUUCUACCCAAUUCUCAAACUUCCUGCUAUACUUUGCGUUGUUAUGUAUGUUUUCUCAUCUACUACAAAGUCU